GGCCUCGUAGCUCAGUUGGCUAGAGCGUUGGCUGUACUAAAGUCUUCCCCUUCUGGCGUGAGUUCGAAUCCCCCUGAGGCCG
This 82-nucleotide transfer RNA is filed under the name Schistocephalus solidus. It matches the Rfam family "tRNA". Rfam says of the family: Transfer RNA (tRNA) molecules are approximately 80 nucleotides in length. Their secondary structure includes four short double-helical elements and three loops (D, anti-codon, and T loops). The record is from Rfam by way of RNAcentral. Lineage: Eukaryota; Metazoa; Platyhelminthes; Cestoda; Diphyllobothriidea; Diphyllobothriidae.